GGGCCCUUAGCUCAGCUGGUAGAGCGCUUCCAUGGCAUGGAAGAGGUCAGCGGUUCGAACCCGCUAGGGUCCACCA
This 76-nucleotide transfer RNA is filed under the name bacterium. RNAcentral's name for it is "tRNA-Ala". It matches the Rfam family "tRNA". From Rfam's summary of the family: Transfer RNA (tRNA) molecules are approximately 80 nucleotides in length. Their secondary structure includes four short double-helical elements and three loops (D, anti-codon, and T loops). Further hydrogen bonds mediate the characteristic L-shaped molecular structure. tRNAs have two regions of fundamental functional importance: the anti-codon, which is responsible for specific mRNA codon recognition, and the 3' end, to which the tRNAs corresponding amino acid is attached (by aminoacyl-tRNA synthetases). tRNAs cope with the degeneracy of the genetic code in two manners: having more than one tRNA (with a specific anti-codon) for a particular amino acid; and 'wobble' base-pairing, i.e. permitting non-standard base-pairing at the 3rd anti-codon position. The record is from RNAcentral. RNAcentral also lists the same sequence under 4 other names.